This 269-nucleotide unclassified non-coding RNA is filed under the name uncultured fungus. RNAcentral describes it as "sequence contains ITS1, 5.8S rRNA gene". The stretch from base 221 to 269 matches the Rfam family "5.8S ribosomal RNA", at positions 1 to 49 of the family's 154-position model. Lineage: Eukaryota; Fungi. The record is from RNAcentral.
UCUCCGUUGGUGAACCAGCGGAGGGAUCAUUACAGAGUUAUCUAACUCCCAAACCCAUGUGAACUUACCAUUUGUUGCCUCGGCAGAGCCUACCCGGUAACUGUUCGGAGAAGCUACCCUGUAGCUACCCUGUAACGGCCUACCCUGUAACGCACUGCCGGUGGACUUUUAAACUCUUGUUAUUUUCUAGUAAGCUAAGCGUCUUAUUUAAAUAAGUCAAAACUUUCAACAACGGAUCUCUUGGUUCUGGCAUCGAUGAAGAACACAGC